Molecule: long non-coding RNA, 3873 nt
Filed under: Coffea arabica (coffee)
Lineage: Eukaryota; Viridiplantae; Streptophyta; Magnoliopsida; Gentianales; Rubiaceae
Description: long non-coding RNA (CARA_LNC006976)
Source: RNAcentral
UCUCUCUCUCUCUUUCAUUCAAGUGCAGAAGCAUUUGUCGAUGUCAACAACUCUUUAGGACCAGUUCUUAUUGCUAUUAUCCUCUGGACAAAAUUCCCUCUUCUUUCUUUCUGUCUUUCAUUCAAAACAUAGCAACAUCAAUCAAUGUCAAGAGCUCUUGAAGACCGGUUCCCAGACAAAACUCCAUUUUUUCCAUAAGACCCAGAGGUCUCCCCUCAAUUUCUGGCAUUUGAUUGUACUUGGAAGAGAUUGCAAUAUCAAUUGGAGGGUCUAGAUUUUUUUCUUCUUCUGAGGAGUGGGUGCUUAGGAUUUGAUGGACGAUGGGCUCGAGACAGAAAAUGGCUGGUAAGCUUCUUCCCCUUCCACUUCCGGUUCUCCCUCUUGUUCUUCUUCAUCUUCCUCCCUCCCUCGAGCAGUUAGGGCUAAUUUUUUCUGUUUUUCUGAAAAUUUUCCUAAUAUUUCUAUUUUCUUGGCUAAAAGCAGCAAAUCUUUUUUUCCCAUCUCUUUUGUGUCCUUUUGUGAAACAAUGAGAAAGGGGAAGGUCAAUAUUUCAUCUCUGCUAUCUGGUGUGAAUUCCUAGAAUGCAGAUAUGGUACUUUUCUUCCCUUUCUUUCCAUGAUUAAUGUCUCUAUUUCAUUUCUAUUUUAUCGUUGAUUUUUUAUUUUUAAUUAGAAGAAAAACUUUUAAUAUGGUCCGUGAUGAUGAAUAAUUGAUGAUUAGCUGGCUUUUAGAUAUUUAUUUACUUGGUGUUUUGUUGUUCCAUCUUUCGUUCUUGCCCUUCUUGGAUUUUUCUAGAGCUGGGAGGAAAAAUGGCCACCCGUGAAAAACAACUGGUAAGGAAAAACAUAAGUUUUGUUAUAUCAUUCUCAUUUAAUUUUGUCCCUUCCACUCCCAAUUUAGGAUUUGAUGGACGAUGUUUUUUUCCUUUUUUUUUGUUCUUUUGGUGUUACUUUUCCGAGUAUAUAAUUAGUUGUUGUUACAGGAAGGAAUAUGAAGACUUGAAGUUGACAUCUCUAAAUAGUUAAAGCUGGUAAUAUUUAUUUGUGUUCUACUAUUUAUCCUAUAAACCAUAGUCUUUUUCUAUAAACAGUUUCUCUCACCUAAUUUAGCCUAUUUUUGUUUAUUGAGGUUUUUGUCAGAGAAAGGAUAAAGGUAAAAGUGAUUGGAAAAAUGAGCAAAUUUCUUCAAGUGUGUUUUGUGUUUUGGGUUUUAUUGUCUUUGUCAAAGUAAAUUAGAUAUGAAUAUAUUUUUUUUCUCUAUGUUCUUUUCUUUCCUUGGCUGGUGAACAUGAUGAAUCUGUUAUUUAAAUUACCUGGUAUUCUUGGUAAUGUCAAGAUUUGGGAAGUUGUAUGAUGAAAUCUUUAUUUCAUAGUCGAUUUUUCUGGUUUUGUGGUUUUAAUGUGCAAAGUGAAAUCAUUAUUAUGACUAAAUUCCUUGAAGAUGUUUUCACCAGUUCAUGAUUCAUGAAUGCAUUUUUUUUUUCACAAACGUUAACCGUUAUAUAUAUGAUAAACCCUUGAUAAUACAAGAAUUAAUUACAAAAAGGGGCUACUACCCUCAUUUGUUUCCUCACUAAAUCCAUCAGCCAAACUGGGAAAUCUUGUUCCCAUUCCAUAUCAUUCACUAGUUGAACAGCAAACUUAGAUAGAGCAUGGCUGAUUUCAUGAUUCAUGAAUGCAUAGUUAUAUGAAUUAGGUAAAUGAAGUUUCAAAAGCAAAAUCCAUGUAAUCUACUAUGAAGAUACCGUCUUUGCUCUUUUAAAUUAUUGAAGAAACUUGGGUUGAUCUUUCGUUGGAAAAAAUAUGUUCAGAAAAUAGUAUCCCUGUGCUUCACAGUAUUGACCUUUGAUGUUGGACCCAAUUUCGCAUUUUUAGAAAAAAAGAAAAAUUGGAAAAUAAUGCAUAGAAACUUCUCUAAAAUUUAAUUCCACAUAUAUAUACAGUAUUUUGUUCCCUUUGGGGAAAUUUCAUCAGUGACAUUAUUUUUAUUGUUUGAUUUUUGUUGGUAAGACUUGCUUUUAUACUCUCUCAGUAGAUUUCUUCUCUUAUUUCUGUUAUUGCUAUUUUUUAUGAAUUCUUCUUUCUUCUUAGCAACUUUAAAGGUUCUUUUCUCUAUAUGAAUGUGUUAUUAUUGGGGUACAUCUAAUCCUAAUCCUAUUUCUGUAGUAGGAAAUGACCAUACUUCGGGUUUUGUUACCGAAGGAUCUACUCAAUUGCAUGGUGCUGCCUAGACAAGUGCCUCACCCUGCUCUACAGUAUCACUGAUAUUUCCGCCAGCCCUAGGCAUGAAUUCAAAUGCUGAAUGGAAUGGGUAUCAGGUAGUUUGUUUCUGACAUCACUUCUCUAUUUUACACUGCAUUUGUCUGCUUGAGGGCAUUUAUUGUAAGAUCAUGUGUUUAAUGUCCAUCUGAUGUUCAAAUUGUGGUAGUAUCUGACAGAUGGUGUUAUCUUUGCUUGUUGAACACCGUAUAUGAAUUUCAUUUGAUACAUUAGAUGUCACAGAUGCUUUUGAAAAUUUGUCACUGUUUCCAAUUUGUGCUUGUCAAUGUGUAAGGUUUAACAUAUGGGGUAAUAGUGUAGUGAACAAGAGAUGAAGAAACUAAUUCUUAUCUUUUUGUGCCGCGGUAGACUAUCUUUUUACUCACCUUUACUGUGAUGAAGAUCUUCAGAUACUGUGUUUUUUUUUCCUCAGGACUUUGAAGUUAAUUGAAGUUAACAGUCAUUGUUGUUCUCUGUAUCUCUUUUGAAAAUUGACAGGAGGCUCUCAUUCCCAUACUGCAUACAAAGUCAUCUUUAACUGCUUUGUUGUUCCUUUUUUUUAUGGUAUAUAUGCAUAAGCAAGCAAUAGUGCUUUUAAGGUGGAUUUAUUCCAGAUGGAUCAUGAUCUCCUUUAAAAAAUGUUCCCAUGGCAUGAAAAGAGAAAUCCAUCAUUAAAUAAAAUGGGUUUGCUGACAGUUAGCUUUGCAUGCGCUCCGGAGGCCAAGUCUUGUCCCCUAUUUGUAACUUGUGAUUUGUGCUAACAAUAUUGAAGUAUUGUUUUAAAAAAAAAGGGGUUUGUAGAAACAUUUCAAACAAUUAGAGAUUAAUGUGGAGAGAGGUAAGAGAAAAUUAAUAAGCUCAAUUUGCAAAGAGGAAAUAAAUCUCGAUUUUUGUUUGAAACACUAUGAACCUCAGAUUAUGUACAUGCAACCAACCAAAAAUAAAUAAAUACAUAAAACAGAGAGAGAAAGCAGUCAAUAGAUUCAUAACUUUCAUCAUGCAUGUGAAAUUAGUUGGUAAAGUGAAGCUGUUAAUUAUUGUACGAAGUAUUUCCAUUGUAAAUAUAAGCUGCUAGAUGCUUGUUACUGCCGAUGAAGCUCUAAAGUUUUUAUAUUUAGUUUUAGCUCUCUGGUACCAGUUUUUAUUGCUUACUUCCGGUAAUAAUGUCCGCACUUGAUUUUUUUUAGGACUGAUGUUCCUCCAACAUUAUCUGUUUUUUUUUUGUCAAACAUUAUCUGGAGGGUUGUUUUAACUUCCUUGCAAGGAUGUCUCUUGAAAUGGAUUAUGUUUGGAAUAGAUGUGUUUCCAUCUGUUUAUAUGAAUAUGUUAUUAUUAAGGUACAUCCUAUAGUGGUUUUUCCUCACAAAAAAAGCAUGUCUUUGUGUUUGUGUUCCUAAAAAUUUUUCUAAACUUCUCAAUCAUUAUACGGAAUGCAAGUCAUGGUUUUCUUUUCUUUUUUUAUCUCUCUCUCAUAAAGAUUUAGCUGACUUUUUCAAUAUAUUUUUUUAGUAGAUUAUGUUGGACUUGGAGAGAUGGCUGUGUUUUUCAUUUUCUUUCUUCAAGUGGAAGAAGAUGAAGAAGAGUGAAGACAAAAUGAUUGUGAUUUUAAUGGAAG